CUUUGUAAAUCCCCCCCAGUCACCAGGUUUCACGCAUCUUGAAGGCAGAGGCUUUGUUGACACAAAGUGAUUGGCAAAAAGGGAGCACCAUAGCAGUGUUUCCUACCCCGAAAUCUGUUUCUUUACUUUGGUUUUAAACCAGAUAGAAGAUAAAGAAACUGAGGCCCAUAGAAACAAAGCAAUUUUGCUAAGGUUAUACAGAGAGUAUGGUGGAGCUGGAUUCACAGGUGGGUUUGCCUGACUCCAAGACGCAUUCUCUUUCCACUAUACCACAUUACCUUUCUCAUUAAUUUCCUAAAACCAAUGGGUUCUAGUAUGCUGUUCACAGUACACUCACGCAAUACCUGCUUCCUAGUACAUACAUCUAUUUUAUAGGCGAGGGAUGAUAGAAGCCAGGGCAUUAGAAAAUUAAAUAUCUUUUUUUAUUAUUAUUUUUUAAGACAGAGUCUCACUCUGUCGCC
RNAcentral lists this long non-coding RNA (461 nucleotides) under Homo sapiens (human). RNAcentral's name for it is "HSALNT0336251". The record is from RNAcentral. Lineage: Eukaryota; Metazoa; Chordata; Mammalia; Primates; Hominidae.